UUUUUUUUUUUUUUUUUUUGAUAGAUUCUCACUCUGUCACCCAGGGUGGGGUGCAGUGCUGCAAUCUCAGGUCACUGCAACCUCCGCCUCUCUGGGUCAAUCAAUUCCCAUGCCACAACCACCAGAGUAGCUGGGAUUACAGCCUUGCACCUCCAUGCACGGCUAAUUUUUAUUAGGUUGGUGCAAAAGUAAUUGCGGUUUUGACCAUUACUUUAAAUUAAUAGUAGAGAUGGGGUUUCGCCAUAUUGGUCCUGAACUCCUGGCCUCGUGUAAUCUACCCGACUUGGCCUCCCAAAGUCCUGGGAUUACAGGAGUGAGCCAUCGCACCCGGCCUCAGAUUCAUCCUGUUUCUAAGAUCUCUGCUGAAUAUCCCGCCCUUCAGCAGGGUGAGUGAAGCCAAGAUAAAGAGCCCAUUUUCUGGGCUGCCCUUCAGUACAGGUGGAGAAGGUGGCCCAUGUGACAGGAGAUGGGGCACUCACCACCAAACGCCCCUCAGCACCCCCCUGGCAUGGCUCUUCUUCCUGCCUCUUCGACCCCCUAGAGCCCUGGACCUGGGCUGCACCCGAGGGUGGCACCUCACCUUCCACAGAUGGCAGAGUGAAAUGACAGCACCCUGGCCAUGGCAGCACAUGCUCACAGUCCCACCAGGACAGAACUGCUGGGAGCAGGGAGCGGUUGGAGUGGACCCAGGCUUUGGCCUACGGCAGGCCCUGAGCUCAGACGGGUGAAGGAGUUCAUAGUUGUCUGUCAUUAGAGUCGUUCUGCCUCUGGCUCAGCUGCUCAGGGCUGGGCAAAGCUGGCCACUGUCUCAGAAGGACCCACAGGUUGUCCCAGAAGACAGGGAGGGCCCUGGGUAGACUGGGCCCUGUUUACUCCUCUCAGGACAGAGUCUGGGUAAGUUGGCCAGAAAAGCCAUUGUCAUAAUUUGAGCUGGCCCACAAAGACAAGAGCUCAAGGAGCAAAAGUGCAGAUUGGUAUAAAUUGUCACAGUGUCCUGGAGGGGGCCUCUGAGGUCACUUGGUCAAAUGCCCACAGCGUCUUCUGGGGAAACCAGGAGUUGAAGGUUGUGCUGCCUGUGGGCCUCCCCCUCUGCUCUAGUCUCUUGGGGAGUGGGGUGGGGUGAGGAGGUUCCUAAUCUGGGUCCUGUCUGGAACCUCUUUCCUCCUGAUCACUGGACUCUAGGCCCUGAGUUUGACAGUUUUCCCGUCCAGGCAGAGGCUAACAAGACUCCUGCAUUCAUUUCCACCCAGGAUUGGCCUGCACAAGGCUCUUCUUUGGUCUUUAAACUUAUCCAUGUCAUUAAGCUCAUUUAUCUGUUCUCUGCUAUGCACACACUCAGUCAUGCCACCACCACCCCUGCCAUGUCUGCCAUGUUAGCAGGGCUGUGCGUGCCAGGGCACCUGGGUCUGUGAGGGUGCGGGCACCUCUAGACCUUCAAACUCAGCCGCAUCUCCCUUUUCCCCACUGGGCUCAUACACGUGGCUGCCCACC
This 1491-nucleotide long non-coding RNA is filed under the name Macaca fascicularis (crab-eating macaque). RNAcentral describes it as "lncRNA (ENSMFAG00000061400.1)". The record is from RNAcentral. Lineage: Eukaryota; Metazoa; Chordata; Mammalia; Primates; Cercopithecidae.